GCCAGGUGUGGUGGCGCAUGCCUGUAGUCCCAGCUACUUGGGAGGCUGAGGUGGGAGGAUCCCUUGAGCCUGGGAGGUCGAGGCUGCAGUGAGCUGUGAUGGCACCACUGCACUCCAGCCUGGGCAAUAGAGCAAGACCCUGUCUCAU
Molecule: non-coding RNA, 148 nt
Filed under: Homo sapiens (human)
Lineage: Eukaryota; Metazoa; Chordata; Mammalia; Primates; Hominidae
Source: Rfam by way of RNAcentral